RNAcentral lists this ribosomal RNA (464 nucleotides) under uncultured bacterium. Its description in RNAcentral is "bacterial SSU rRNA". It matches the Rfam family "Bacterial small subunit ribosomal RNA", at positions 917 to 1382 of the family's 1533-position model. The record is from RNAcentral.
GGGCCCGCACAAGCGGUGGAGCAUGUGGUUUAAUUCGACGCAACGCGAAGAACCUUACCCAGGCUCGAACGGUAGCUGACAUCCUACGAAAGUAGGCUCCCGCAAGGGCAGCUAUCGAGGUGCUGCAUGGCUGUCGUCAGCUCGUGUCGUGAGAUGUUGGGUUAAGUCCCGCAACGAGCGCAACCCUUGUCUUCUGUUGCCAUCAGGUCAAGCUGGGCACUCUGAAGAGACUGCCGGUGACAAACCGGAGGAAGGUGGGGAUGACGUCAAGUCAGCAUGGCCUUUAUGUCUGGGGCCACACACGUGCUACAAUGGCAGGUACAAACCGUCGCGAGACCGCAAGGUGGAGCUAAUCGGAUAAAGCCUGUCUCAGUUCGGAUUGUCGGCUGCAACUCGCCGGCAUGAAGUUGGAAUCGCUAGUAAUCGCGGAUCAGCACGCCGCGGUGAAUACGUUCCCGGGCCUU